GAGUUUGAUCCUGGCUCAGGAUGAACGCUAGCGACAGGCCUAACACAUGCAAGUCGAGGGGCAGCACAUGAGGCAGCAAUGCGGAUGGUGGCGACCGGCGCACGGGUGAGUAACACGUAUGCAACCUGCCUUCAACCGGAGGAUAACCCGUUGAAAGACGGACUAAUACUCCAUAACACAGGGGUCCCGCAUGGGGAUAUUUGUUAAAGAUUAAUCGGUUGAUGAUGGGCAUGCGUUCCAUUAGCUUGUUGGCGGGGUAACGGCCCACCAAGGCAACGAUGGAUAGGGGAACUGAGAGGUUUAUCCCCCACACUGGAACUGAGACACGGUCCAGACUCCUACGGGAGGCAGCAGUGAGGAAUAUUGGUCAAUGGGGGCAACCCUGAACCAGCCAAGUCGCGUGAAGGAUGAAGGUCUUAUGGAUUGUAAACUUCUUUUACACGGGAAUAAAGUGGGGGACGUGUCCCCCUUUGCAUGUACCGUGUGAAUAAGGAUCGGCUAACUCC
This 506-nucleotide ribosomal RNA is filed under the name uncultured bacterium. RNAcentral describes it as "bacterial SSU rRNA". It matches the Rfam family "Bacterial small subunit ribosomal RNA", at positions 9 to 504 of the family's 1533-position model. The record is from RNAcentral.